Molecule: ribosomal RNA, 420 nt
Filed under: Salmonella enterica subsp. enterica serovar Infantis
Lineage: Bacteria; Pseudomonadati; Pseudomonadota; Gammaproteobacteria; Enterobacterales; Enterobacteriaceae
Also listed under: 5 other names
Description: partial 23S ribosomal RNA
Rfam family: Bacterial large subunit ribosomal RNA
Source: RNAcentral
AAUCCAUAGGUUAAUGAGGCGAACCGGGGGAACUGAAACAUCUAAGUACCCCGAGGAAAAGAAAUCAACCGAGAUUCCCCCAGUAGCGGCGAGCGAACGGGGAGGAGCCCAGAGCCUGAAUCAGCAUGUGUGUUAGUGGAAGCGUCUGGAAAGGCGCGCGAUACAGGGUGACAGCCCCGUACACAAAAGCGCAUGUGCUGUGAGCUCGAUGAGUAGGGCGGGACACGUGGUAUCCUGUCUGAAUAUGGGGGGACCAUCCUCCAAGGCUAAAUACUCCUGACUGACCGAUAGUGAACCAGUACCGUGAGGGAAAGGCGAAAAGAACCCCGGCGAGGGGAGUGAAAAAGAACCUGAAACCGUGUACGUACAAGCAGUGGGAGCACAGGUUUACCUGUGUGACUGCGUACCUUUUGUAUAAUG